AUUGAACGCUGGCGGCAGGCUUAACACAUGCAAGUCGAGCGGGGAGAUGUAGCUUGCUACAUUUCCUAGCGGCGGACGGGUGAGUAAUGCUUAGGAAUCUGCCUAUUAGUGGGGGACAACAUUCCGAAAGGAAUGCUAAUACCGCAUACGCCCUACGGGGGAAGGCAGGGGAUCUUCGGACCUUGCGCUAAUAGAUGAGCCUAAGUCAGAUUAGCUAGUUGGUGGGGUAAGGGCCUACCAAGGCGACGAUCUGUAGCGGGUCUGAGAGGAUGAUCCGCCACACUGGGACUGAGACACGGCCCAGACUCCUACGGGAGGCAGCAGUGGGGAAUAUUGGACAAUGGGCGAAAGCCUGAUCCAGCCAUGCCGCGUGUGUGAAGAAGGCCUUUUGGUUGUAAAGCACUUUAAGCGAGGAGGAGGCUACUUGGAUUAAUACUCUAGGAUAGUGGACGUUACUCGCAGAAUAAGCACCGGCUAACUCUGUGCCAGCCGCCGCCGUAA
This 501-nucleotide ribosomal RNA is filed under the name uncultured bacterium. RNAcentral describes it as "partial 16S ribosomal RNA". It matches the Rfam family "Bacterial small subunit ribosomal RNA", at positions 30 to 523 of the family's 1533-position model. The record is from RNAcentral.